RNAcentral lists this ribosomal RNA (229 nucleotides) under uncultured bacterium. Its description in RNAcentral is "partial 16S ribosomal RNA". It matches the Rfam family "Bacterial small subunit ribosomal RNA", at positions 568 to 796 of the family's 1533-position model. The record is from RNAcentral.
UGCGUAGGCGGAUAAAUAAGUCAGUGGUGAAAUCUUUCGGCUCAACCGGGAAACUGCCAUUGAUACUGUUAGUCUUGAGUUCGGUUGAGGUAGGCGGAAUGCGUAAUGUAGCGGUGAAAUGCUUAGAUAUUACACAGAACACCAAUUGCGUAGGCAGCUUACUAGACCGACACUGACGCUGAGGCACGAAAGCGUGGGGAGCGAACAGGAUUAGAUACCCUGGUAGUCC